UACCGGUCCGCCGGGGAUUGGUACCGGUGCGCCCGGUAUCGGUACCGGUCCGCCGGGGAUUGGUACCGGUGCGCCCGGUAUCGGUACC
Molecule: transfer RNA, 88 nt
Filed under: Mycobacterium tuberculosis
Lineage: Bacteria; Bacillati; Actinomycetota; Actinomycetes; Mycobacteriales; Mycobacteriaceae
Description: tRNA-Arg(gcg)
Source: RNAcentral